GUCCAGACUCCUACGGGAGGCAGCAGUGAGGAAUAUUGGUCAAUGGUCGGGAGACUGAACCAGCCAAGCCGCGUGAGGGAGGAAGGUACAGAGUAUCGUAAACCUCUUUUGUCAGGGAACAAAGGCGGGGACGUGUCCCCGGAUGAGUGUACCUGAAGAAAAAGCAUCGGCUAACUACGUGCCAGCAGCCGCGGUAAUACGUAGGGGGCGAGCGUUAUCCGGAAUUACUGGGUGUAAAGGGAGCGUAGACGGCGAGGUAAGCCUGAAGUGGAAGCCCGCGGCCCAACCGCGGAACUGCUUUGGGAACUGUUUGGCUGGAGUAUGGGAGGGGUAAGCGGAAUUCCUGGUGUAGCGGUGAAAUGCGUAGAUAUCAGGAGGAACACCGGUGGCGAAGGCGGCUUACUGGACCAUAACUGACGUUGAGGCUCGAAAGCGUGGGGAGCGAACAGGAUUAGAUACCCCCGUAA
Molecule: ribosomal RNA, 467 nt
Filed under: uncultured bacterium
Lineage: Bacteria
Description: bacterial SSU rRNA
Rfam family: Bacterial small subunit ribosomal RNA
Source: RNAcentral